Molecule: long non-coding RNA, 1338 nt
Organism: Diorhabda carinulata
Lineage: Eukaryota; Metazoa; Arthropoda; Insecta; Coleoptera; Chrysomelidae
Exons: 2
Source: RefSeq, a predicted model, not a curated record
CGUGAAUUUUCGCAUUUCAUUUUGGCGAUGAUAUUCUAGAUCGAAGAUAUAAGGUGAAAAAACAAUUGAUUACACAUAAUACUGUAUAAUUUCUACAAAUCAAUCACAUCAAUAUCAUAAAACUGCUGAUAUAUCGUAAACGCAAUAAAUUUGAAAAAAUAACCAUAAUAAUGCUACCAAACAUAUUAGAAGCGAUAUUUAGAUAAUGGAUAUGUUAAUAUUUGAGAAAAAAAAAAAGAUAAACGAAUUUGCGGAAAUCCAAGACCAAGUACAUAAUAUUUAUUCUGUUUUUGCGUCGGAAAUUUACAAUACAGCUUAACCAUCGUACCUCUGAUAAUAGAUUCCAUAUAUAUGCAUUUUUGAAGAUUUGAAAUGCUUAUAAACGCUCCCAAUAGCUGUAAAUGGUAAAUAAUAUUGGAAAAUAAAUAAAUGGAAAAUGUAUACAUCCGAUGGAAAAGUAGAAAAAAAGGAAAGAUUGAUUAAGGAUAUAAAAGCGGCAAGUUGUUCUAGUAGAAUUACUUGAUGGAGGUGAGGAAAGUAAUGGCAAUGUUUAUAAAAGCGCAAAUUAAUAGAAGUCAUUUCAAAGUUACAGUUGUUAUUAAUGAUAAAUUUUAUUAUGAUUAUACCAGUAAACUAAACGUGAAUUUCUAGAGGAUUGUGGAAAAAUAUGAGGCUGAUUCAAAGUGUUUAUAGAAAUUAUUGCGAUAUGAGAGGAUGGAGUUCUUCAAACUUGAUACACGAAAAUCUCAUAAUAACAUUGACGCUCAUUUCUCAGAAAGAAAUUGUUCUCAUUUCUAAUAAGUAACUAUUUCGAAUAAACAUUAUAUCUAUUGGUAGCAAAUGAUUAUAAUUUAAUAUUAUUAUCAAUAGUGAAUUUAAUUUUAAUUUGAGGCACACGUGAUAUAAUGAGAAUUUAUUAUAAACCAUCGCAUAGUAUAUUUGGCAACAGUUUAGUAUUAUUUAUCGUGAUAGUAAGAUUCUAUAUUCAAUAACAAUAUGAAGUUGAUAUUAUUAUUUGCCUUCAUUUUAUUCAUAGGAACGAUCAGGGCUGCGAUAAUUGGAUGCCCGCCAAAUUCAAAUUGGAAGGAAAUAGGAGGAUCUAACUGCUACACUCCUGUCCCUACAUGUCAAAAUCCAAACCCAAAGCGUGUGGUAAAUCCGAAUGGAUGUGUUUUGGAUUUGGUAAGAGCCUGUUGGUGUGAUGAAGGUUAUUUAAUGAAUGAUAACAAAUGUUUACUAAAAGAAAACUGUCCUCAAUAAUAAAAUAUAAUACUAAUUCAGUUCCUAAUUUUGUAUAUGUAAAGAUAUUGAUUAACUCCAAUAAAUAAUUUAUGAUGA